CUGCCGCAUCCCCGACGCGUAUUAGGUCACCCUCGACACCCCCGGAACAUUAGCCCCCUCAUUUUCUUCCUCCUCGAGCCGCUCCGCUCGAUUUGCUCGAUCAUGAAUGACAUCGCCACCACUGCCUCGUCGCCGUCAUGGCCAAAGGCCUCAUUGCUGACCAGGAAGACGCCAAGAGAAGUGUAGUCGUCGUCUUCGUCGACUACACCACCAGAUGGGGGCGGAGGAGCUGCAGCAACAGCGCCCGCACCCGUUUUCCCCCGCUGGAAUAUGCCUCGGCCGCGACCUCAAUCCGCCGUCGACCGAGCCUCACCGCCCCCUUGACCUCCUCCGGCUGCCCCGGGUCGCUCCUCGUCACCGAUACCCCGAGACUGAUGUUGCCCCUGUGAUCGACUACGUCGACGAUGACACUUCUUCCUUUUUAGCAGAGCUUCCAGGCAAGCCCCCCCCUUUGAUCAUCCCGAUAUCUACCAUUCUAUACUCUCAUGCUUGCAUUAGAUUAUUCUACUAUU
RNAcentral lists this ribosomal RNA (512 nucleotides) under Triticum aestivum (bread wheat). Its description in RNAcentral is "partial small subunit ribosomal RNA". The record is from RNAcentral. Lineage: Eukaryota; Viridiplantae; Streptophyta; Magnoliopsida; Poales; Poaceae.